RNAcentral lists this ribosomal RNA (733 nucleotides) under uncultured bacterium. RNAcentral's name for it is "bacterial SSU rRNA". It matches the Rfam family "Bacterial small subunit ribosomal RNA", at positions 571 to 1309 of the family's 1533-position model. The record is from RNAcentral.
GUAGGGCGGGUCCAAGGAAAGGAUGCAAUGAAAAGUACUUUAAAAAGGAGUAAGUGUUGCAUAGAUCCCUUAGGACUUGAGGUCAAAAGACGAGAAUCGAAUUUCGGGUGGAGCGAUAAAAUGCAAAGAUAUCCGAAGGAAGACCAAAAGCGAAGGCAGUUCUCGAGGUUGAACCUGACGUUGAAAAACGAAAGCGUGGGGAGCAAACGGGAUUAGAGACCCCGGUAGUCCACGCCCUAAACGAUGUGUGACUUUCUAGGACCUAUAUAAAGAAUAUAGAGCGAACUAGAAAAAGCUAACGCGAUCACACCGCCUGGGGAGUACGGCCGCAAGGCUGAAACUCAAAGGAAUUGACGGGAGCUUACACAAACAGUGGAGCAUGUGGUUUAAUUCGACAUAACGCGCAGAACCUUACCUCCCCUUGACAUUUCUUGAAUGAAAAGCAGAAAUGUUUUUCAAUAAAAUCCUGAAACAGGUGCUGCAUGGCUGUCGUCAGCUCGUGUCGUGAGAUGUUAGAUUAAGUUCGUUAACGAGCGCAACCCUUGUAUUAUGUCAUUCACGGUGCAUAAUAGACAGUCUACUAAAGGUAGAAGGAAGGUGAGGAUGACGUCAAGUCCGCAUGGCCCUUAUGGGGAGGGCUACACAUGUGCUACAAUGAUGCGCACAAAAAGAUGCAAAAGAGUAAUCUGGAGCAAAACUAUAAAUCGCAUCCCAGUACGGAUUGAGCUCUGCA